UACGUAGGGUCCGAGCGUUGUCCGGAAUUACUGGGCGUAAAGCGCGCGCAGGCGGCCCGCGAGGUGUCACGUGAAAGCCCCGGGCUCAACCCGGGAGGGUCGUGGCAAACCGGCGGGCUUGAGGCCGGUAGAGGUGGGUGGAACUCCUGGUGGAGUGGUGAAAUGCGUAGAGAUCAGGAAGAACACCCGUGGCGAAGGCGGCCCACUGGGCCGGUACUGACGCUGAGGCGCGAAGGCGUGGGGAGCAAGCAGG
Molecule: ribosomal RNA, 253 nt
Filed under: uncultured bacterium
Lineage: Bacteria
Description: partial 16S ribosomal RNA
Rfam family: Bacterial small subunit ribosomal RNA
Source: RNAcentral